Molecule: ribosomal RNA, 141 nt
Filed under: uncultured Flavobacteriia bacterium
Lineage: Bacteria; Pseudomonadati; Bacteroidota; Flavobacteriia
Description: partial 16S ribosomal RNA
Source: RNAcentral
UACCGUCAAUCUGCCACACGUGGCAGGGUUUCUUCCUGUACAAAAGCAGUUUACACACCAUAGAUGCUUCAUCCUGCACGCGGCAUGGCUGGUUCAGGCUUGCGCCCAUUGACCAAUAUUCCUCACUGCUGCCUCCCGUAG